UACGUAGGGGGCAAGCGUUGUCCGGAAUUAUUGGGCGUAAAGAGCGCGUAGGCGGUCUGAUAAGUCGGUUGUGAAAGUCGGGGGCUCAACCCUCGAAUGCCGGUGGAUACUGUCGGGACUAGAGUACGGAAGAGGCGAGUGGAAUUCCUGGUGUAGCGGUGAAAUGCGCAGAGUAUCAGGAGGAACACCAAUUGCGAAGGCAGCUCGCUGGGACGUUACUGACGCUGAGACGCGAAAGCGUGGGGAGCAAACAGG
Molecule: ribosomal RNA, 255 nt
Filed under: uncultured bacterium
Lineage: Bacteria
Description: partial 16S ribosomal RNA
Rfam family: Bacterial small subunit ribosomal RNA
Source: RNAcentral